GGAUCAAUAAGCCCUUCCAUCCCAUGUGUCCGAAUGGAGAGCAUUCGGUCUUCUCAUUUAAUCGACGCCCGCGCAUUUCGAACUCGGACCACGUGGGUGGAAGUAAAGGCCCAGUUCCACUGAACUACCACCUCAGAGGUAUUUUUUUUUCCUAUUGUUUUAUUUGCAAAGACUCCUGCCUUGGUUUGCGCCGUUUAGAAUGAGAAGGUGUCGACGAUGGGGCGACGGUGUACCCCCGAAAGCUAGACGAUUUUAGCCUUAGCCAAAUGUUUGCAUGGGAUAGAUAUGAGAACGAAUCACCGCCCCUAACAAAAUCCCAACAACACCGUACCUUGGCAUUAGCUCGAAUCAAUCUCGGUCAAAAUCUGGGUGUCUGUUCCGUAGGACACCCUCUUCUCAAAUUGUUUUUUUUUUUUUUUGUAAAUCCCUCAUGCUCGCUUUACUCAAGAUUGAUAUAAUUCACCCAGCUCAUGAAAAAAUAUGCGUACUGUCAUGAUGCCCGCAAUAUGAAAGUGGAGCUUUUACGAUCCUUGGGCAUCUGGGAGACAGCAGAGGUCCCCUUUUUCAUCGUCGAGCUUUUGAAAUUGCCAUAACCGACCUUCAACAUUAACGCUGAUGCUACUAUUACGAGCGCGCAGGAGUUUAUAAUGCGGGGUACUUGGGACUAUCAUGCAAUGGUACAGCAAAGUGGCAGCGGAUCUAGUUACUAGGAUGCCGUUGCCGAGGUCCGGUGAACGGAAUUCUUGCGUCUGAAUGCCGCAUCCGCAGGUACAGACGAUGCUAUCUCAGUCUACAGAUUCUACAGAUUAUGGCAUUUACCCUAUUUCUGGAGUUAUGAAUAUUUGGUAAAAAUUUUAAAAAACUGUUUUAGCUUUUUCAGAAAUCUAAAAAUAGCUUUUUAUAAGAAGCUUCAUUUUGAAGCUUUUCGAAAAAACUAUUUUGAAAAGUUAUUUUUUAACCAAAAUAUCUAUAAUAAAAUAUAACAAUUACAUAUUUUAUCACUUUAUAAAUCUAAAAAUCUGUUGAAGUCCUAAUAAUUAUAAUAUUUUAUACCUUUAUUAUUGUAUUAUACUAUAAAUAUAAUAUUAUAUUACAUUCUACGAUAAUACAUUGAUAUGUUAUGUUAAAUAGUUUAAUUAUUAAAUUAUUAUGCUACGGUAUACAAUAUUAUAUUACUAUAUUAUAAUAAUAUUAUAUUACAUUACCAUAAUAUUAUACUAUAUUAUAUAUUUACGUAUUAAUAUAUGUUAUAUUUUAUUAUGCUCUGUUGUAUAAUACUAUGCAAUGUUUUUUAUAGUAAUUUUGUCAUACAAAAGUACUUCAGCAGUUUGUUUAUGUGUUAAAGUGCCACAAUACUUUAAAAAUAUAGUUACCAAAUAGCAAAUAGCUUUUUAUAAAAGCUCUACUUCAGAAAGUUCUACUUCUAAUAGCUCUACUUUCAAAAACUCUACUGCCAACAACUCUUCCAAACAAAACCUAAAUAUUUAUCUGAAAAGACUUGUGGCGACGAUUGUUUGCUCACGCUCACUUGCAUACAUCACCGGAUGCUACUUGCUCUGCUUGUGGUUUACAUGUUGAAGCCAUUAGACACCAUUUUUUGGGCGCGGUCAUGCUAGAUUUGUGUGGGUAGAAAAACGUAUCAUUUCCUUUUCGAGUUGAUGGAGGGGGGCUUGGCUCACAGCAAUACAAUUGAAUCGGCUUCCAUGUAUGGCAUUUUAUGCUGCAAUAAUGCGGUAUAUAUGGAAAAAUCGGAAGGUCUUCCGAUUUUUAGUAAUCAACUCGUUAACACAUCGUUCAUCGUGCAUUGGUCAUCAUUGCUUAUGCUACCGAUCUGAGUCAAGAGCAUGCGAGCCUCUCAAGUGCUGUUAGCCGACACCAUGACCUCCCUGACCGAAGACUGGCCUUAUGUAAAGCUCCACCACGUAGUUUAAUGCCUGCACACGAACUGUACCUGAAGAGAGUCCUUUUUCUUAGCACAAACUUGGUCUUGUGAAAGGUUCUACCUGUAUGUACCAAAAAAGGGUUCUACUUAUUAUUAACGAUCUUGGUGUUUCUAGACUUGAUCAAAAGUACUUCUCUCAAACGGGCUAAGGUCUGAUCAAAAGCAAUUCUCUCAAACAGAAGAAGCGCUAAUCAAAAGCGAUUCUCUCAAACAGGCUAAGCGCAAAUCAAAAGCGAUUCUCUCAAACAGGCUAAGCGCAAAUCAAAAGUGAUUCUCUCAAACGGGCUAAGCGCAUUCCUUGAGUUCUCAAGCCUCAAACCUCUUGUUUGGCGUUUAUAUAGUUGGGCUUACACUACGUUUGAGUGAAUCUCCACUAUCUAUGACUCAAAGCUUUGAAUAUGAUCUACCAUCUAUAAACAACUUAUCUAUUAAAAAUCAUUUAUACAACAAAUAAUCAAAAAAUUAAAUAAUUUAAUUAAUAUAAAAUUAUAUAUAUAUAUAUAGGGAAUUGAUAACCUACUCUAACAUAGAGUAGGUUAUCAAUCCCCAUAUAUAUAUACAUAUAUAUAUAUAUAUAUAUACAUAUAUACAUAUACAUAUAUACAUAUAUACAUAUACAUAUAUACAUAUACAUAUAUACAUAUAUAUAUAUAUAUAUAGACACUACUUAAGGUAUAAAUUACGGAUUUCAAAAUCAUAUAAUUUUGAUAAUGUAAGCACACACGUAACAACUUGAGUUGUCACGAGGUAGAACACCACCAUCCAAUCUCGACUUGCUCAUACCCGAAGAUCUACUCGAAUAUAACCAAGUCUAAUUCUCUCCAUAUGCAUAUUAAUUAAAAAACCUAAUAGACCCAUAGACCAACCGUAGUCAAAAGGGGAGAUACAUCUGACAUGGACUCACAACCGGAUAAAUAUUUAACAGCAACAUCAACACAAAAAUCAUAAUUUGCUGUUGAAAGUAAACAACUAGUAUAACCGAGCAGACUGAAACCACAACAUUCCCAAUGCAGCAUGAGAAAACAACAGUUGAAAUUUAAUCAGGUAUAAUCUUUCUACCGUUUGGCACCGGCCACAGUUUACUAAGAGAACCAUCAGAAGCACUGGCACAAGUUGAGGCAUUCCUGAAGCAUAUCUCGGUAUACCUCGAACCCCAAUUCAGAUGAGAUUUUGGUCCCAAACAAAACAAACUGAAUCCAUCAGAACGUAAAUCCAAUUCUUCCCGUAAACCACUUUCCAAAAACUGGAUUUCGGGUCAUGAGUACAAAAUAGGAAGUAAAUAUUAAAACCCAAAUAUCACCUAUGCAGGAACCCGACACUCACCUUUUGCAGAGCAAGACCCUAAAUGAAAGUGACAGCACCGAGACGAGCAUAGCUUCUAUGUAAACAACAGGACUAUAAUGUUUUCAUGCUGCAGGAUCUGUGACACCCUCUGAUUUAUCGGUAUCCAUUGGCUCAGCAGCACUCGGCGGCGCAUGACCACUUUCAUCAGCCACCUGCUCCCUGGAGGCACCAUCUCCUUGAGGCUGCUGCUCGUUGGCUUGAGGUUGUGCUGCCGUCUCAGCUGGUGGUGGGGUCUGCGGCUUGGGUGGAGGAGGCCUUGGUUUCGUCAUUAUCGGUCUGCAAAACCUGUGCAAGCAAAUUCUUUAUACACUUAGCGAACAAUAUAUGACGAACAUGAGAUGCUACACUAGUGUGGUACAAACUUCUCUCUCAUUUCAAAACACUAGAGAUCACGAGUGCCAAAGCUUAAAUGCACAAUUCAGCAAAGUCAAAAGGAGGAUUCGGAUGACUAUUUUUAGAUCAAGUUGCCAAAGAAUCGGUUCCAUCAUAAGAGUUACAGGGGAACACUGUUUUGUUAUUAAUUUUAAUUUCAAACACAUGGAUGCACAAUCGAAAAUCAGCCUGACAAACUAUAUUAUGGGUCUGUUUGUUAUCGUUGUUGUCUGUCUUCUUGUUCCUGUUUGGUAUCAUUGGUGCUGAAGAUGGCAUUUGCACAAAACUAUGCUAUUCCCGGUUUUAUUUUCACUCCCUUUCGACAGCAACAGAUAUUUGCCACCAAAAAAUAUAAUGACUUUAUAAACAAUAUAAAAACAAAAGACAUAUUCAGUUGUACAAUCAUUUUGCUUCUUGGGUUUUUGAAAACUGAAAGAGAAAGCAAAAGCAAUACCAAAUGAGCCCUAAAUUAUUACCUGUCCAGUGUUUCAGCCUUCCUCUUCACAUCUGCCGAAAGAAGAACGGGAGUGGCAUGUUUGGGCAAGGCAUCUUGCUGCUGCUUUUUCUCUCUUAACCAGGUUUCUGCUCCGGCACAUUCAUUAACAACCUAUGAUAAAUGAUUAACAAAUAAGCACAUGACUGCAAAAUUUCUACAAAAUUUUUACAUAAACAAAUCUUAGCAACUGUAAUUCUUUCAAAUUCAACUUAAGAACUGCAGGAGAUAUAUUAAAAUAUGCAGUAUAUGCUAGAUAUUUAUGCAGCGAGUAUAGUGAACGAUUGGAUGCUAAGCUUGUGUUACAGCAUAAACAAUUCUGAAGAUAAUGUAAACUCUUGGUGGCUGAAAAUUAGACAAAACCAAAAUCCCAGUUGAGUGUGCCUACUGACGAAAACAUGAAAGCAGGGACAAACACUGGAUGUCCACAUACAGAUGGUUCUAACAGAAGCACAGCAAAAAAUUCUGAGAUUGAAAGCAAAACAAUUUUUAGACAUAUUCCAAUUGAAUGUUGAUGCCAACGGACCACAAGGGCUUAAAAAAAGGCAUAGUUGAUGUUUCACCGACAAUUAAGUCAUAAACAUAACAAUUACCAAAAAAGUGCAACAGGUUUCUCUAAAACAUCAUACCUUGUGCUUGUCUGCUAUAUCAAUGUGAUCAAACUUAGGAUCUUUUGACGAGGCGGCCUCUCUAAAACUACUAAUACAGUAAAUGAGUUGAUCAAUGGUUGGACCUCUCUCUGUCCACUCCUUGUAGCGUUCUUCAAUAGGGGCACCUUGCUGCACUCAGACAGCCCUUAUCAGAUGAACUAAACACCUCAUCAGCUUGACACAAAUGAAAACAAGAAAGUCGAAUGAUUUACCUUUCUAAGUUCUUCAAGCUUAGCAACAUAAACACCCUUUGUCUCAUCCUCACCAUCUUCAUACAACCAAUCCUCGACAUCCUGAAGCUUUGCAAUGAGCUCAUCCUUCUCGCUUGCUGUUACGAAAUCCUGAUACUUAUCAUGAAGCUGAAAACAAAAAAGAGACAAUAUUGAUGUCAGACCAUAUAGAUUAAUAUAAAAAUAUAGUACAAAAUGGGUCAUGAAUGGAUGACAAAACCUUGUUUCGCAUGUCAUAAACGUAUGCUUCCACAGCAUUCUUUUUGUCUUUGGUUUCUUCCAUUACCCUAUCUUGAAGAGCCAUUUCAAACUCCCUCUCAACUGCCUUUUGCAAAUCUUCAGCUGACAUUCCGCCAUACACCAGUUCAGAAACUGGAAUAUUUGUUUUCUUCACCUUCUUUUUUGGAACCUCAACCUGAAGGACCAACAUUAUAUCAACAAUUGAUGAUCUUUCAGAUGUGCUUUUGCACCAGACAUGGAAAAAAGGGAUGUAAUUUAGAACUAGAAGAGCUUUAUGUAAAAUAUAUAGAUAUAGCACCCCAUGAAAGGUUUAUUACUGUUCCUGUCAGAUAUUGCAAAAUAUUUUAUUAGGGCAAUCAAAUUAUAACAUCUGCUUUACAAUCACAGGAAGAGAAAAUAUAUAUUUGUAAAGGAAGAGGAGACUUGACUUCUGUCAGAGGUCAGCAGAAACAUUUCACAGAUAUAAUCUUCACAUUUGUUAAGAACUAAGACAAUCAACUCUCUGAAAUCAAGGCAUAAAAAACACAUACGAGAGCAUAUUCUAAGAUAUGAACAAGUCAGAAUAUCCACUUUCCUAUUUUUUCCCUGCAGGAAAAUGAAGUUCCUAGUACUUACAGAGCACGAGCAGAAAAUUUUCAUGAAAUAUAUCAAUUGCUAGCUUAUUUCAAUUCAAUUACACAGCUUUUGAUUUGUGCGGAAAACAUUGAAACAUCUGCCAUAUAUAAAUAUAAUGCAUCUUUCAGAAUCCAUAAAUACGAGCUUUGAGAUACAAUUUAAUCAUUGUGAGCUGUGGGUAAAGAAACAAACUCAGGAUAAUUUAACUGUUUAACUAAUAUAGUCAAACUAAUGAAUAAGUUAUAUUAAUCAAAGUCGUACCAUUAAUAAAUAAGAAACUUGUAAUGAGUACAAUUCUAUCUUCAAAACUACUGGAGAAGAUAACAAACUCCAACUAGUUACAUAAUUUAUAAUAUAAAUAUGUCCAUCCAACGAUCAAACAAAGAAAAAAUCAUUGCCCUAAUAAAUGGGGUCAGAAGCAUAAAAUAACUUCGUGCAAAAUCCCAGUGAUAUACAAGCAUAUUGAAAAAACUAGUAGCUGAUGAUUUGCAAACCUUGGCAUCAGUUUCCAUCUGCACAGGCUUUUCUUCAGCCUCUGGCGCACCAUUUUCGACCCCAGCACCAGAGUUAUCUGCUGCCACAGUUUUAACAUCCUGCAUAUUUUCAUGAUUCUCAGUUCUAGAUGAGUCACUUGUUUCAUCUGUGUCCAUCUUGGUAGCCUCCUUUG
This 6553-nucleotide long non-coding RNA is filed under the name Phoenix dactylifera (date palm). RNAcentral describes it as "long non-coding RNA (PDAC_LNC002314)". Lineage: Eukaryota; Viridiplantae; Streptophyta; Magnoliopsida; Arecales; Arecaceae. The record is from RNAcentral.